GACAGACACAGACUUUUAAAACCUCUCUGAGCCCUUUCGGUUUAACCACAAACAGUUGUAAAGUCGCUACCGCUAAACCCACCAGACUCCAUUUAAAAAA
Molecule: long non-coding RNA, 100 nt
Organism: Etheostoma cragini (Arkansas darter)
Lineage: Eukaryota; Metazoa; Chordata; Actinopteri; Perciformes; Percidae
Exons: 3
Source: RefSeq, a predicted model, not a curated record